AGAACGAACGCUGGCGGCGUGCCUAACACAUGCAAGUCGAACGAGACCGCUGACUUCGGUUGGCGCGUCUAGUGGCGCACGGGUGCGUAACGCGUGGGAAUCUGCCCUUGGGUACGGAAUAACAGUUAGAAAUGACUGCUAAUACCGUAUAAUGACUUCGGUCCAAAGAUUUAUCGCCCAGGGAUGAGCCCGCGUAGGAUUAGCUUGUUGGUGAGGUAAAAGCUCACCAAGGCGACGAUCCUUAGCUGGUCUGAGAGGAUGAUCAGCCACACUGGGACUGAGACACGGCCCAGACUCCUACGGGAGGCAGCAGUGGGGAAUAUUGGACAAUGGGCGAAAGCCUGAUCCAGCAAUGCCGCGUGAGUGAUGAAGGCCUUAGGGUUGUAAAGCUCUUUUGCCCGGGAUGAUAAUGACAGUACCGGGAGAAUAAGCUCCGGCUAACUCCGUGCCAGCAGCCGC
This 459-nucleotide ribosomal RNA is filed under the name uncultured bacterium. RNAcentral describes it as "SSU rRNA". It matches the Rfam family "Bacterial small subunit ribosomal RNA", at positions 26 to 518 of the family's 1533-position model. The record is from RNAcentral.